RNAcentral lists this transfer RNA (76 nucleotides) under Coriobacteriia bacterium. RNAcentral's name for it is "tRNA-Lys". It matches the Rfam family "tRNA". From Rfam's summary of the family: Transfer RNA (tRNA) molecules are approximately 80 nucleotides in length. Their secondary structure includes four short double-helical elements and three loops (D, anti-codon, and T loops). The record is from RNAcentral. Lineage: Bacteria; Bacillati; Actinomycetota; Coriobacteriia.
GGGCCGUUAGCUCAGCUGGCAGAGCAGGGGACUUUUAAUCCCAAGGUCGCUGGUUCGAGACCAGCACGGCCCACCA